This 76-nucleotide transfer RNA is filed under the name Candidatus Odyssella acanthamoebae. Its description in RNAcentral is "tRNA-Phe (GAA) (tRNA-Phe-GAA-1-1)". It matches the Rfam family "tRNA". Rfam says of the family: Transfer RNA (tRNA) molecules are approximately 80 nucleotides in length. Their secondary structure includes four short double-helical elements and three loops (D, anti-codon, and T loops). RNAcentral also lists the same sequence under 1 other name. The record is from RNAcentral. Lineage: Bacteria; Pseudomonadati; Pseudomonadota; Alphaproteobacteria; Holosporales; Candidatus Paracaedibacteraceae.
GCCCGGAUAGCUCAGUUGGUAGAGCAAGGGAUUGAAAAUCCCUGUGUCGCUGGUUCGAAUCCGGCUCCGGGCACCA